UAUGUAUAUAUUAGAUUAUCAUUCCCCCUUCACUAGCUUCUGUCUUUCUCUACGCCCCCAAAAUUCUACUUUAUAAUACACCUAUUUUACAUUUUUCAUGGAGUUCACAUUAGUGGUAACACAACAUCUCUCCUUUUAUGUCUGGCUUAAUAGAAGUCAUUUUAAUCUAUUUUUCAGGUCCUGUAAGAGACCUUUGUAAGAGUAUACAAGUAAACAUUUACUAGCCCAUUCUGCCUUGAGCUUUUUAAAAAAACGCGUAAGGGAUUCUUAUUUAAAAGGUCAAGGAUGAAGCCUUCGCAUCUGCAUUUUUAACAAGCUCCUCAUCUAAUCUGAUGUGAUUCUCAUUUACAUACAGAGUUGAAAACCCUGGUAUACAGAUCAUAUCCAAGGAUCAGUGGAAUAAAGAACAAUCUUACCAAUAUAUUUCAGGUUUCCAAAACAAAUUUGGACAAAACUAUGUAGUUUAAAAUGCGCCUAAAGAGGUUUUUGAGGCUGUGACCUUGGGAAAGUCAGUGAAUCAAUCUGGAUUUCACUUCACCACCUACAAAUUGGGAAGAGCUUUCUGCUGCCUCUUUAAUUCACUUGGAUAAAUCAGUUUCAAGUUGUGAACCUACGCUGAGCAAAAUGUAUGAAAGAAAUACAAAAUGGUAUAGUAACUAACUGAAAUAUCAGUUCUCCACGGUGUACCAUGUACUCAGAGCUCAAAGAAGACACAACCUAUAUAGACUGUGAAACACCAAUCUUCUGGGAAUCUAGUCACCUGGCUCAGCAAGCAUUUAUUGCAGUUUUGAAAUUCUUCAGCCGGGUUGAACCUCUAAGGGUUGAUGAAAGUGCUGUUUGUUUGUUGUAGGUGGAUUGCAGAAGAUCCCCACAAUUUUUCACCCAACAAUGAGCUAACAAAAGGCACAAGAAAGCAAAGUAGACAGAAACUUACUUAUUUAACUAAUAAUACUCUAUGCUUCUUUAUGUUGUGGGAAACGUAAUUUUUAGUUUCCCCUAUAUAUUUUGUAAAUCCUUCUUGCUUCUGGGGUUUGCCCUAUCCAUUAACCAAAUACCAUUACAAUCAGUACACAAAGCAUACUAAGUGGAUUAAAUGUCAUCUCUGCUUCCCGGCAGUUUUUAAAGCUAAGUCAGAAAAUGUGGAUUGCUUACAACACUGAACAAAGGUACAUGCAGAGUGUGAGGGAGGGAGAUUUUAAGAUCCGUCCUGACAACCCUAGAAUGCUGAGAAAUAGUACUAUGUCAAAGGCUCAAAGGAUACUCAAAAUUGUUAACUGAUAGCAUUAAACCCUGUGGUGACCUUGAAAGCUUGAGUUCAUGUUUUCAGGCGUUAAAUCAGUGUGAGGACUGCUAAGCCAACACACUUCGUUCUUAGUAUCAAAAGGCUCCAGGGAGCUUUUAGCUGAAUUUCCUCUUGACGCAUGUAUUUUAUCUUGCAACUUGCUUGGCACUCGUAUCAUGAAGAAAUCAUCAAGAACUAGCUCAGAGUGCUCUACGUCUGGAGCAAAGGCUUUUCCUUUAAGCCUUCAGAGCACUGUCAGAAAAUUAAAGCCACAGGGUUAACCCAUAACAUAAAUUGUCAUGGUGAAGAUAGGAACUUCUUACCAUCUGGGAUAUGCAGUAUCAGCCAGUUCUGUUCUGCACAGAAAUGAAUAGCAUGCCAGAAUGAGGGUUUUUGCUCAUCCCUUCUCUCCAUCUAAAAUACUUGUUGUUAAAGAAAACAUCACAAGAAGGGAAACUUCUGUUAACAGCAAGCACUCCUGUAUCUAUUUUCCCCAUCUGAUGGGGAACGCAUUAGCCAGAGGGUCCAGACAGGCAGGAAAGGACACAGAGAACAUACUGUACAGGUGGAUGAGCAAAAUUGGGAUUUUUCAGGUAAUGCAGAAGCUCUAGGGCUGGUUUCUUACCAUCAGGGAAGCUUCACUGAACAUCUUCAUCUAAUAAAAAGGAGAAAGAGGAAAGAGAGGGAGAGGGUAGGGUGUGGUAUUCACUGAGCCUAAUACAGCAACCACAGGCACCAAAUUGCAUGUCUUUAGUUUAUGCAGUUUGGAGAAGUUGGGUUGAUAUUUAAUUCAAAAAUCUACCCCACGUAAUUUAACUGAAGUCGGAAUACAUUACCCUAUACCAAGUAACAUAGUCAGCUUUUGAUUAUUCUUGUGAAUGAAGCACAGAUAUACUAGUUAAUCAGAAUCUAUAAAUAACUCAGACAUCUCAUAAUAUAAGUGUGCCACAUUUAGGGUUGAGGUAAAUAUUUUAAGCAUGUAAAGCACUUAAAGUACCUGACACAUGGCAAGCAUUCAAUAAGCGUUAAUUCUUUUAAAUUUAAUUUUAGUUAAUUCUUAUUCUAACCAUCUAGACUUCUCUAAAACUAUAUAUAAGGCAGCUCAGGAGCUGGUGUGGUCAGCUCUCCCACAACUGAUGGUAUGUCUUAUACCAUCAGCAAACUGACAUCAGUUUAUGUGUUCAUUUCCUUUUUAUGACUAGAGUACUUUCAUGGAAAAUUUUUGGAAGCACUGAUAUGUGUGAAAGCGAUGUGCAAAUGAAUUUGCAAAUAAAUAUCUAAACACAUACUGUUCACAAGUACAUUAGAUAAGAUUUUAAAUCGUGUAUUUUUGAAAGGAAUCUCAAGAAAACAAUUGGAUUGGAGAUGUAACAGAUAGGUCAGUGCAAACAAUAUAAAGUGCAACCUUUGAAAACACAGAUAUUAAAACAGAAAUUCCAGAUUAGGUAAUGAUGAUAUUACAAUAAAUAAACAAUGGCGAGGGCUCUGGCCUUCACUUACAUGGAUAUUAUGAAAGAAUGAAUGAAUAAUUUCCUCUAGAGACUGGUAGUUAAACCUGUCUGAAAGCAACUUUAAAUAGUUAAUUAAAAAUAGGCCCUCCCAAUCCUGAAGCUAGAGAUUCUACUGUGAAGUCUUGGAACAAUUUAAAAUGCUAUUACAGAUGAUUCCCUCUGGAUGUGUCCUAACUAUUUCUAAUCUCAAAAAAUGCUUUAUGACAAGGCUGUCUAUGUCUCUAAUCUAGAAUUAGCUCUCAUAUUGGUGUCUCAUCUGAUUUCCUUAAAGCAGAGUGAAGAAAUGACAUCUUCUGGCUCCUAAGCUAAAAAAUCACCUGAACAAAUUUGAUAAUUCCUUAAGAAGGAAUAAUUUCUGAGGAUGAAAAUAAUUCAGCAGGAGCUAUAAGAACCAAUGAUGCCAAUAAAAUUCAAAUUUCAUCUUCUAUGGUUUUCUACUCACUCAAUCCCAUCCCUCUGCUAUCAACAGUCUGUGUUCUGGGCUCCCCACAAUUCCCUGUUUUGAGCACCUGCAUUAAAAAGCGGGGAGGCAGGCCAUGGGGAAAUACAGUCUUCAAAUCCUGGAAGGGGAUGUUGUAGUGUUGACCUUCAUGCUGCUCCCAAUGCUUGGCCUAUGAAAUCAAAAUGCAAACAGGUAAUGGCGACUCACACAAAGUGACAAAAACUUUGCAAAAGUAUAUCGGCCUUAUUAGACCGUGCUGGAGAAACACUCAUCUACCAGAGCUGGAAAAGAUAUCUUUCAUUUCUUAUCUUAGACAAAAAUGCUGGUGGUUGUCCCCAAAUCCACGGUGUGUAUAUGAAGCUACUGGUGGCUUGAAUGAUGAAGCCAGUUGCUCAGCAACUAGAUGUGGGAAUGCCAGAGACAAUUCCUGCCAUCUGGAUUCUUCUAUAGUGUAUACAGAGAUGCUCCAGUCAUGUGACAAGAUCAUCUGCAUGCUGCUGUUUCCAUAGAAACCCCAGAGGAAGUGGCAGAUAAAGGGACUACAAUUUCAGAGGAAGCUGAAAGAUAUUUCAAUGACCUCAUUCAUUUAUUCCAUUCCAUUUUAUGCUUGUGAAAAUAGGUAAGCACUAGAGACAUAAAUAAAACAGACCCUGCUGA
Long non-coding RNA from Choloepus didactylus (southern two-toed sloth), 3892 nucleotides. RefSeq lists it as uncharacterized. NCBI's taxonomy places the organism in Eukaryota, Metazoa, Chordata, Mammalia, Pilosa, Megalonychidae. The record is from RefSeq and is a predicted model, not a curated record. The transcript has 2 exons.